This 405-nucleotide ribosomal RNA is filed under the name uncultured Enterobacteriaceae bacterium. RNAcentral describes it as "bacterial SSU rRNA". It matches the Rfam family "Bacterial small subunit ribosomal RNA", at positions 974 to 1378 of the family's 1533-position model. Lineage: Bacteria; Pseudomonadati; Pseudomonadota; Gammaproteobacteria; Enterobacterales; Enterobacteriaceae. The record is from RNAcentral.
CCUACUCUUGACAUCCAGAGAAUUUGCUAGAGAUAGCUUAGUGCCUUCGGGAACUCUGAGACAGGUGCUGCAUGGCUGUCGUCAGCUCGUGUUGUGAAAUGUUGGGUUAAGUCCCGCAACGAGCGCAACCCUUAUCCUUUGUUGCCAGCGCGUAAUGGUGGGAACUCAAAGGAGACUGCCGGUGAUAAACCGGAGGAAGGUGGGGAUGACGUCAAGUCAUCAUGGCCCUUACGAGUAGGGCUACACACGUGCUACAAUGGCGUAUACAAAGAGAAGCGAACUCGCGAGAGCAAGCGGACCUCAUAAAGUACGUCGUAGUCCGGAUCGGAGUCUGCAACUCGACUCCGUGAAGUCGGAAUCGCUAGUAAUCGUAGAUCAGAAUGCUACGGUGAAUACGUUCCCGGG